This 406-nucleotide ribosomal RNA is filed under the name uncultured bacterium. RNAcentral's name for it is "partial 16S ribosomal RNA". It matches the Rfam family "Bacterial small subunit ribosomal RNA", at positions 28 to 526 of the family's 1533-position model. The record is from RNAcentral.
GAUGAACGCUAGCUACAGGCUUAACACAUGCAAGUCGAGGGACCGGCGCACGGGUGAGUAACACGUAUCCAACCUGCCCUUUACUCGGGGAUAGCCUUUCGAAAGACAGAUUCAUACCCGGUCUAAAGGAUUGGGAUGCGUUCCAUUAGGUUGUUAGUGAGGUAACGGCUAACCAAGCCUUCGAUGGAUAGGGGUUCUGUGAGGAAGGUCCCCAACAUCUGAACUGAGGCACGGACCAAAGUCCUACGGGAGGAAGCAGUGAGGAAUAGUGGUCAAUGGGCGCUAGCCUGAACCAGGCAAGUAGCGUGAAGGAUGAAGGCUUAUGGGUCGUAAACUUCUUUUAUAUAAGAAUAUGUAUUAGAUGAAUAAGGAUCGGCUAACUACGUGCCAGCCGCCGCGGUAAUAC